Molecule: ribosomal RNA, 227 nt
Filed under: uncultured bacterium
Lineage: Bacteria
Description: partial 16S ribosomal RNA
Rfam family: Bacterial small subunit ribosomal RNA
Source: RNAcentral
AGUAACGCGUGAGGAACCUGCCUCAAAGAGGGGGACAACAGUUGGAAACGACUGCUAAUACCGCAUAAGCCCACAGCUCGGCAUCGAGCAGAGGGAAAAGGAGCAAUCCGCUUUGAGAUGGCCUCGCGUCCGAUUAGCUGGUUGGUGAGGUAACGGCCCACCAAGGCGACGAUCGGUAGCCGGACUGAGAGGUUGAACGGCCACAUUGGGACUGAGACACGGCCCAG